Triticum aestivum (bread wheat) is the source of this 3882-nucleotide long non-coding RNA. RefSeq lists it as uncharacterized. The record is from RefSeq and is a predicted model, not a curated record. The transcript has 2 exons. NCBI's taxonomy places the organism in Eukaryota, Viridiplantae, Streptophyta, Magnoliopsida, Poales, Poaceae.
UGCAGCAAAAGGGACACCAGAACCCCCAAUAUCCGGAAACGGCAUCACACCAAGCGCCAGGCUGGUUUGGGGAGUAUACCCCAUUCUUCUUCUUGGUUUAUAGGUCUUGCACAUCUCUGCUCCUAACGGAUGAGUUGGUUGAAUAGUCCCACCACUUUCGUCUAGUUAAUUUUCGUUCGGUUUAUUUUUGUCUCACCUCCCACUCCCCACCCACACACACGCACUGCAAAAAAAACCAGCCCGCAUGAAACACCCGUCCCGAUCUCCCGUCCAAAAGAAAAACGCUGUGACCAGCGAGCCGCUCCCUCUCUCUCCUCGCACGAGUCGCGGCACGCGCUACGGUUCCUCACGCCGCCGCCGCACACCUCCAUCCCCUUCCCAACCCCGGCCGGCCUCCACUCCACUCCUCCGCGGGCGCCACCCAACCACCGCCGCCCUCUCCACGCACCCGCACCCACUCACCCAACUCUCUCUCCGCCGCCGCCAUCUAGAUCUCGUCCGAUCGAUUCCUGCGGCGCGCAUCACACUCCUUCUGUGCUCGCCUCGCGCCGCUGUGUUCACCCAUCCGGCUGGAUUCGCCGCUCCCCGGUGGCAAGGGCUUCGGUCGCCUCCAACUCCGGCGACUCCGGCGGUUCAUCUCCGACACCUACCCAGCCCCCACGCGCAGCUCUGUCUCCUGGAUGAAUUUGUCCUGCUCGAGGACGAUCGGUUCUUCCUCAAGCUCCAAGGACGCCUGCCAUCCUCGAGCCUCCCUCCGUGGGAUGCCAUGGAGAUGAAACUCCCCUCGACCAGGGAAUUCAAGGGCAUGUGGGAGAGAGAGGAGGUCCAUGGAGAAGAUGCUCUGCUCCAACCCUCCCUGCCUCCUACUACAAGAUGUCUUUUAUUGUGUGUGCUUGUAUUGCAGCAGCCAUGUGCGUAUCAAAAAAAGGGUCCAGUUUGCAGCAGUCACAUGAUAUGGACAUGUUUUUUCAUCACAAUUGGAUUUUUGGAUUUACUAGGCUAAUUGGUGGUGGUUGCUGUUGUUGUUGUUUUAGCAGCAGCAGCAGCAGCAGGCCGAGUGACGGUGGUGGCUGUGUGCAGGCCAUGGAGGCGAUGAUGAGCACGAGGGGAAGGCUGCUGCUUCAACCCCGUUAAGGACUGCUGCUUCGAAUUGUCCCAGAUCGGUCGAUUUCUUCUUGCUUUCCCGUUAAGGAUUUCUUCUUGAUGUUUAUAUUAUUGGAUUGCCAGUAUAUUUUGUAACCCGUGGAAUUAGUAUGACCUGCCUGGCAACCUGUAUUUUACUGGAGAAAAUGUUGAACAGUAGGCUUGUUAUUUUGAAUGCUUGCGGCAAAGGGAUGGGCUUGCACCCUUUUAUGUUCUAGACUAGGCAUGCUAAUGAAAACAUUCCCGUACAUGUAGGUCAUAUGCAUAUAAACUCCACUUCUUAUAUUACUUAUCUAUCCUUUAACAACUUAUGUGUGGGAUUUGCUUCGAAAGUUGUCCACGUGAGUCAAUGGGUGCUGCUUCAUGUGGGCAUCCUUUCUGUGGUGUAUGUUGGAGAGGUUCGUUCUUUUGUUAUCCCCUUGCUUUGGAUGGUCAUACUUUACACUGCCCUUGCCUAGAUAAUUGUGCCAUGAAUACGCUUGGUGAUGGACCAAGUGUGCCUAACUAUCUAUUAAGUUACCCUUGAUUUUUCUUCUGACUGAACACAUAGAUGUUUACCGUAGCUGCAUGUGAGCAUAUCUUCCUCAAUCAAAGUUGAGCAUGUGGGCAUUUUACUGGAGUGUGUUCCUGAAUAUGUUUUUCUGAAAAAAGCAUUGAUGGCAAUUUAUAGUCAUGCGUGAACACAAACAAUUGUAUUGUGCUUUUUCCUAUAGCGUGAACACAAACAAAUGUAUUAUGCUUUUUCCUGAUAGGUUGCAAGCAUGCAGUGUUAUUGUUGCACAACAUUGGCCAUGCUCCUCCAAAUGUAUUAUGCUUUUUUUGGUUCUCAUUUCUUAUAUGCAAUAAUAUCACUUGUUGGGCAUAAAUGAUGUAUUUGAAUGCUCUAGGAUCUAGCCGUUUGGAGUUAUAUACUGGAUAGUAUAUUAUUACCUGUUCGAACCAUUUUGAAAUUGAGUAGAUAAAAAGUCCAUAGAUUCGGGGUCGACCAUUUCCUCAGAGAAGUCCAUAGGUUGCAUGGUGCCAAACACGGAUUGAUGAUUCUGUCAUGGGUUCCUCAGAGAAGAUGGCACAACUGAAUACGGAGAUCCGUCUGUUGAAGACGCUGAGGCACAAGAACAUUGAGAAGUUGUUUGCCUCAUGUAUUGAUGAGGAUAAGAAGACAAUUAACAUCAUCACGGAGCUCUGCACAUCCGGCAGUUUGAGGCAGUAUGUACCUUUUCUUUAGCUCCACCAGUCCGCCUCGUUCGUAAUGCUUUGCCUGAUUCAGUUAUGGAUUACCCUUUCCGUUUAUAAGUUGAUGUACUUUAUUGAAUUGGUUUCUUAGUAACCAACCAUGCUGGAGUCUGCUGUUGUGUGGAGAAAGUUUGAUUGAAAUUUAACCACGGCAUAGAUUUCACUCUUAUCGCCCUUUCAUUCAGUACAUUCUGAUCAUUGAAAUUUGGAAUGAUAACCAGGUUCUGUAAGAAGCACGAUAAAUAAAACCAUGGUAAGUAAAAAAAGUGCAGUAUUCUAAGAAUACUUAAAAAAUACUUUGCUAUCAAACAGGGCCUCAAAGUAAUUAAAACCAUGGUAAUCCUAAAAACUAUAGUAUUUCCAGAAUACUUAGAAAAUACAGAGCUAUCAAACAGGGCCUAAAUCAUCAAUUGGAGGUGGUAGUAUGAGAUUUAAAAAAUCUGACAGUGUAGGAGAUAUCUAACUCCAUGGCAAUGUUCGAUGGAUGUUCUGCGAAUUGCUUGCAAGCCAUGAAAAAUUGGGGUUUGAACACAGCAUAUAUAUUGUCUUACACACUCAUGAUCUGGUAUUAGUUUUAAUUGCCUUGAUCUUUGUUUUGUAGUACAGACAAGAAUAGCUUCAAUGAUAGCAUCUCGAAUCAUCAAGUUGUGCGACUUCCCUCUUGAGUGGGUGUUGUAUUUUAGCAGGCCUAUAUUUGAAAUAGUUGAGAGCCACUUUUGUUGUUUCUAUAUGGGUGCACACCAAAUUAUACCUUCCGAGAAGAUUAAUGUGCUCAUGAUUUACCUUCUGAAAAAGGGAACUUGUGAUCCAUCUGCGCGCAAUGUUCCGCGGCGAUGUCCCUUGGUAGGAAUAAUGUCUCCCACGUUCUAUCCAUAUCCCGGUGGUGCGUCUAGCAUCCUCGGAGGGCGCGCGGAGGUGUGUCUCCAUCGGAUCUCGCGGGAUUCGGUUGGUGCAGGUCUUCGGUGGAUCUUUUUGGAUCUGGUCUGUGUUCAUCUUCAUUUGGAUGUUUACAGGUUUGAUUCUUCCGUUCUACGACUUUCUUCAUUGGGUGAUGGUUGUUGCUCUGGUGCCCUUGUGCUAUGUGGCCUUAGCACGACGAUUUCUUGACUGUCAACUAUAAUAAGGUUUGCGCAGCUCCAGCGAGGGAGGGGCGAUGACGGCGGCGCUGGGUUCAUCUUCAUUUGGAUGUUUACAGGUUUGAUUCUUCCGAUCUACGACUUUCUUCAUCGGGCGAUGCUUGUUGCUCUGGUGCCCUUGUGCUAUGUGGCCUUAGCACGACGACUUCUCGACUGUCAACUAUAAUAAGGCUUGCGCGGCUCCAGCGAGGGAGGGGCAAUGACAGCUGCACACCUUCGUCUCGCUCCAGUAUAUGUAGUCGUCGCUAGGUGGUUUUUAAUUUCUAUUAUCUCCGAUGUUCUUCGUACUACCAUGUUUAAAGAUGAAUAGAUUGAAAGUUUCCCAUGUAGAAAAGUAGUUUUCAAUUAUUACCAUUGUUGCUAUUUUUUC